This 775-nucleotide ribosomal RNA is filed under the name uncultured Neocallimastigales. RNAcentral's name for it is "partial large subunit ribosomal RNA". It matches the Rfam family "Eukaryotic large subunit ribosomal RNA", at positions 23 to 628 of the family's 3401-position model. Lineage: Eukaryota; Fungi; Neocallimastigomycota; Neocallimastigomycetes; Neocallimastigales. The record is from RNAcentral.
GAGACUCUGUGCGCGUGCAUAUCAAUAAGCGGAGGAAAAGAAACUAACAAGGAUUCCCCUAGUAACAGCGAGUGAAGCGGGAAGAGCUCAAAUUUGAAAUCUUAAAGGUUUCCCUUGACGAAUUGUAGUUUAAAGAAGUGUUUUCUGUUGAAGUUUUGGUAAAAGUUCUUUGGAAUAGGGACAUCAUAGAGGAUGAGAAUCCCGUAUUUGACCAGUUACUUUCAGCUGUGUGAUACACUUUCAAUGAGUCGGAUUGUUUGGGAAUGCAGUCCAAAAUGGGUGGUAAAUUUCAUCUAAAGCUAAAUACUGGCGAGAGACCGAUAGCGAACAAGUACCGUGAGGGAAGGAUGAAAAGAACUUUGAAAAGAGAGUUAAACAGUACGUGAAAUUGUCAAAAGGGAAGCGUUUGACACCAGUGUUGUUUAGUUGAAAAUCAAUUCAAUAAUUUUUGAUUUUGAGUAGUAUUGACUUCAUCAGCUUGCUGCUUUCUUUUCAGAAAUUAUUGAAUGCACUUUUCAGUUAACAAGUCAACAUCAAUUUCUUUUGUUGUAAAAGGGUAAGAGGAAGGUGGCUUACGCUUCGGCGUAAGUGUUUAUAGCCUUUUACCCCUGCAAUUGGAGAGAUUGAGGUCUGCAGCGUAGAUCCUUCGGGGUUAGAUACAUUUGUGCUAAGCUAUAGCCUUGUAUAGACAACUUGUUGACUAUGCUCAGUCAUGUAGCUUACUCGCUUAUGCUAUUUUACCUACGCUUAGGAUGUUGAGUCGUAGAGCACGCAG